This 382-nucleotide ribosomal RNA is filed under the name Bimastos rubidus. RNAcentral's name for it is "partial 12S ribosomal RNA". It matches the Rfam family "Bacterial small subunit ribosomal RNA", at positions 875 to 1415 of the family's 1533-position model. The record is from RNAcentral. Lineage: Eukaryota; Metazoa; Annelida; Clitellata; Crassiclitellata; Lumbricidae.
UUAUGGAAUAAUACAAAGUCAAAAAAUACGAACUACAGUUUAAAACUUAAAGAUUUUGGCGGUGUCUUAUCGAACCAGGGGAACCUGUCUCAUAACUCGAUAAUCCACGAAUACCCUACCCUAUCUAGAUCAAACAGCUUGUGUACUGCCGUCAUAAGCACACCUCUAAGAGUCUAAAGUGUGCAAUAAUGAUUAUUCUCAUAUAUGUCAGGUCAAAGUGCAGCUCAUGAAAGGGAGAUGAUGGGUUACACCCUAUAUAAAGAUACCAAUUUUAACAUUAAAAGCUAAAUGAAGGUGGACUUGGACGUAACUAUAAUUCAAUGUUAUAACGAAAACGAAUCUAAGACAUGUACACAUCGCCCGUCACUCUCGCCUAAAGGCG